UUUUUGUGUAGCAUAUUCAACCAAGAGAUCCCCAUUGUGUGUCAGAUAAACACAUAUUUUGUUCUGGCUUUACAACAAAUUGAUAAAAACAAAAUGGGAGCCAUGUAAAAUAUGUAGUGCUUUAUUCAUUAUAGUAACUUUGUGAAGUUACUGAUUUGGUUGAUCCCACUUAUUUAUGCACUUUUUAGUUUAAAAGAAGAUAAGUUGGCUAAAGGCCUGCUGACUCCGAGAAAACAUAAGGUUACUCCAUUUUUAGUAUUUGCGCAAUUUGAAAUGUUCAUAACGGUUACUGAUUUAUCCAGAGAAAUAUAUUUUGUAUUUGUGUAUUUGUUAUUCUGAUAUAGCCAGCUUAUUUCAUUGGCUUUAAUAUUUGUCAUAUUUUCCUAUAUAUUUUUUAGUUGUUAUAAUAGAAAAGACACUGGCCUGUAUCUACUUUAUAACACUUAGAUAUUUGUGGAUGGUACUGGCAUUCAUUUGAGCAUAUUUGGCUACAGAGAAAGGAAAGCCAUGAUCGUUUAGCCUGAUAUUAUUGUUUCUAUAAUUUGAUUUUAUUGAUGUACAGGAGUGUCUUUUGAUAAGUGAAGGAGAGUAUAACCAAUUUGUAAAGGACAGUAUUUGUUUCCUUAUGUGUGUAUAUAUGUAUAUGUACAUGCACACACGGGCGCUGUCUAGAAAAAAAAUGGAUGAGAUAUUAUCUUGGGAACCUGGAAGCAAUAAUGAUUGCAAUUUAAAGUACUGCUAAAUGCUGCACACUAAAAAAAAGAAAAAAAGAUACUAUUAGCAGCUGUUUUAGCCUUAUGCUGAGAAGUAUUUUGUUUAGUGACUUUUUUUUUUUCCAGGAAAGUGAAGGAAAAAUGCAACUGUUGGAUUUUUGGACAGGAUAUACUUUGAACCAUUUGAUAUGCAGGGAUUUGCCUCUGAAGCAGGGAGUGUCUGCAUUAAAAAUGACCUGUAGUUCUCUGCUUCAUAGGUUAGAAACUUAUUUUAAUAUUUCAUGGCUAAGCACAGUCCCGUCUUUUUCCAAAAAAAAAAAAAAAACAAAACAAAACCUAAUAAUAAAUGGUUUAAUUGGCAUUGAAUGUGGACUAUAAGCAUUUUACAUUGGGG
RNAcentral lists this long non-coding RNA (1107 nucleotides) under Dromaius novaehollandiae (emu). RNAcentral describes it as "lncRNA (ENSDNVG00000001315.1)". Lineage: Eukaryota; Metazoa; Chordata; Aves; Casuariiformes; Dromaiidae. The record is from RNAcentral.